AUUUAAAGUACACAUUUCCAUAUGUAAAUGUAGUUUAUGCUUUUCUACUGCCUGUCAGACUUAAUCACAUUCAGGUGAAGAGCUAUUAUUUAUAAAAUUUUAUGAAUUAAUUAUUUUCCAGGGCAAGUUUAAUUUUAAGUCACUGACUCAUUCCAGUAUUUUUAUGAUCACUAUGUGCCAGAGGCUGUCCUGGCCAUGAAGACAGAGACAAUAAUGAAGUAGCUUCUUAGUUUUCUCACUUUGCUUCCUAGGACAAUGGUGAAUUGGACAAAAGGACAAGAAAUAUUUACAUAUUUCAUUUAAUUCUUGUAUAUUUCUUAAGUUUUAAGGUUAUAACAAUGGUUAAAAGUCCAAAUGUUGGUGAAGUGUGGUGCUGAAACUCAGUGCUUGGUGAGGCAGAGGCAUGCCUCUGUUAGCUGUGGGCAGCUAUGUCUACAUGAUGAGACAGCCUCCGCCCUCCCUCCCCAACACACACCAAAAAACAAAUACUGCUUAAAGCUCCCAAAGAAAGAGGGCCCUUAAGGAAACAUUUCUGUAUGUUUUCUGAUAAUAAAAUAAGUUCCAAGUUUUCAUUUAUAAAACUGUUUUUUAAAAAAGUUAAAAAACCAAAGGGCACAAGGUCAAGGCCCUUAAGGGUGCAGUAAAGAGCUGGCUGUGGCAGUAAGUUACUGACAGAGAGACUAGCAUGAGGUUAUUUGAUUUUACUUACUUAUUUGUGUUUGUAUGGAAUUAUAGCUGCUUGGUUUUAGUAAGGAUUUAAGAACCUGACUUAUAAGGAGCACACCUGAAAGAGAGAACCUAAAGACAUUGUUUUUAGUGUGGCCUCUUCUUUAUUGGGAAAGAUCAAGUAUAAGCAAACCAGCAGGCUCUGUGACCUGCUUUCUCUCCUCUGAAGACACAGGUAGUCCUGUCUGCACGAUGUGGACACUGUGAGUCUCCAGGGCAACGAUCACACACAAGAGACCAACAAAUGUGAGGAUCACUGGGAUUUUCAGCUGUUAUUUUGAGAGCUGGCUGCCAAGACUGGAGUUCCUUUCCUGUGGCCCAUUCCUCCAGAAAAAGCAUGGUUGGCGGCUAUGGAACCUAGGAGAGCAGUACUAAGUCUGGAGGAAGAAGAUGUGCUCCAAUGGAAGGGAAAAGCUGGAGGAAGCUGAGGAGGUGGGCAACCCUGU
Rattus rattus (black rat) is the source of this 1172-nucleotide long non-coding RNA. RefSeq lists it as uncharacterized. NCBI's taxonomy places the organism in Eukaryota, Metazoa, Chordata, Mammalia, Rodentia, Muridae. The transcript is spliced from 3 exons. The record is from RefSeq and is a predicted model, not a curated record.